Molecule: ribosomal RNA, 460 nt
Filed under: uncultured bacterium
Lineage: Bacteria
Description: partial 16S ribosomal RNA
Rfam family: Bacterial small subunit ribosomal RNA
Source: RNAcentral
CCUACGGGUGGCAGCAGUGAGGAAUAUUGGUCAAUGGACGAGAGCCUGAACCAGCCAAGUAGCGUGAGGGAUGACUGCCCUAUGGGUUGUAAACUUCUUUUAUAUGGGAGUAAUAUGUUUUACGUGUAGAAUGUUGACUGUACCAUAUGAAUAAGCAUCGGCUAACUCCGUGCCAGCAGCCGCGGUUAUACGGAGGAUCCGAGCGUUAUCCGGAUUUAUUGGGUUUAAAGGGUGGGGAGGUGGGCAGUUACGUCAUUGGUGAAAUUUUGGGGGUUAAACCUCAUAUUGCAGUUGACACUGGAGGGCUAGAGAACAGUAGAGGUGGGCGGAAUAAGUGAAGUAGCGGUGAAAUGCAUAGAUAUAACGUAGAACACCGAUAGCGAAGGCAGCUUACUGGACUGAAACUGACGCUGAGGCUCGAGAGUGUGGGUAUCGAACAGGAUUAGAUACCCUUGUAGUC